GAAACGGCUGCUAAUACCGCAUAAGCGCACAGUACCGCAUGGUACAGUGUGAAAAACUCCGGUGGUGUGAGAUGGACCCGCGUCUGAUUAGCUAGUUGGCAGGGCAACGGCCUACCAAGGCGACGAUCAGUAGCCGACCUGAGAGGGUGACCGGCCACAUUGGGACUGAGACACGGCCCAAACUCCUACGGGAGGCAGCAGUGGGGAAUAUUGCACAAUGGGGGAAACCCUGAUGCAGCGACGCCGCGUGAGCGAAGAAGUAUUUCGGUAUGUAAAGCUCUAUCAGCAGGGAAGAAGAAAUGACGGUACCUGACUAAGAAGCACCGGCUAAAUACGUGCCAGCAGCCGCGGUAAUACGUAUGGUGCAAGCGUUAUCCGGAUUUACUGGGUGUAAAGGGAGCGCAGGCGGAAGGCUAAGUCUGAUGUGAAAGCCCGGGGCUCAACCCCGGUACUGCAUUGGAAACUGGUCAUCUAGAGUGUCGGAGGGGUAAGUGGAAUUCCUAGUGUAGCGGUGAAAUGCGUAGAUAUUAGGAGGAACACCAGUGGCGAAGGCGGCUUACUGGACGAUAACUGACGCUGAGGCUCGAAAGCGUGGGGAGCAAACAGGAUUAGAUACCCUGGUAGUCCACGCCGUAAACGAUGAA
RNAcentral lists this ribosomal RNA (644 nucleotides) under uncultured bacterium. RNAcentral's name for it is "bacterial SSU rRNA". It matches the Rfam family "Bacterial small subunit ribosomal RNA", at positions 153 to 813 of the family's 1533-position model. The record is from RNAcentral.